UAUUAUAUAUAUGAGCGUGUUUGAUAUUAUGGUUUUAGCAAAAAAAAAAAAAACUAAAAGCAAUUUUGAAUAACAAGUAAGUGAAAUAAUUGGGAGUAAUGACUGAAGAAAUAAAAAUUUUUUUGACAGAUUGUUGUAAUGAAAUUUCAAAUAAUUUUUUAUGCAGUAACUAUUUUUAUAGUUUCAUCAGAUAGAGAUAAAUCGAAUAUCGAAACUGCUGUUGUGUAUCUCUGAACCUUGAUAUAUUUAUUUAACGUCACUAAUUGCGAGUUGAUUAUUUUAAAAUGGAGUUUAUAAAUCGUCAAGUUUUUUGGAGAUGAUUUUGUUUCCGUUACAAUGAUGAAGAGUAAAAAAUUAUUUGGAAAUAUGUCUUUAAUGUCACGUUGCUCGCUUUUUAUCUCAGGCGUUUUGAUUUUUCUCCCUGUUGUUAAAGUUACGCAUUUAAAAGAUUUUUAUGAUGAAAUGAUGCACAAGUAUUAUUAUAAAAAAAUGUAUAAGAAUCAGGACAAGUACAAAUGUGGCGCGCAUUUAUACCCAGACAAUUAUAAUAUUUACAAGAGUGUUUUUUUUGAAAUGAAGAAAAAAGACUGAGUUUAAUUUUAAAAAGACGCUUAUUCUGCAUGUAAAUUUGUAAAAAAAUUAUUUCUUUACAUACAUUAAUAUUUAUUAACUUAUUAAUAAAGUUCAAUAUUUAUUCUA
Molecule: long non-coding RNA, 699 nt
Organism: Microplitis demolitor
Lineage: Eukaryota; Metazoa; Arthropoda; Insecta; Hymenoptera; Braconidae
Exons: 4
Source: RefSeq, a predicted model, not a curated record